UAACGCUUCUAUAUGUUUUAAAAUCCUGUGUACACAAACUGUGAGAAUGAUUUUAGGAUACUGUAUUUUAUUUGCUCUAAUAUCAUAUUCAUAUGGACAGUCCCUGACUUCGUCUGCUUCUGUGGUGAAGAAACCAGGAGAGUCGGUCACUCUGUCCUGCACUGUGUCUGGAAUCUCGCUUAGCUGGUUGCACUGGAUCCAUCAGAAACCAGGACAAGGACUGGAGUGGAUCGGGCGUAUUGAUGCUGGCACUGGCACAAUAUUCGCUCAGUCUCUACAGGGCCAGUUCUCCAUCAAUAAAGACACCAGUAAAAACUUGCUGUACCUAGAAGUGAAGAGUCUGAAAGCUGAAGACACGGCAGUUUAUUACUGUGCACGAGAGUCACACUGA
Non-coding RNA from Tachysurus vachellii, 391 nucleotides. Lineage: Eukaryota; Metazoa; Chordata; Actinopteri; Siluriformes; Bagridae. The record is from the annotation of a RefSeq genome assembly.